GACGAACGCUGGCGGCGUGCUUAACACAUGCAAGUCGAACGGAAAGGCCCUGCUUUUGUGGGGUGCUCGAGUGGCGAACGGGUGAGUAACACGUGAGUAACCUGCCCUUGACUUUGGGAUAACUUCAGGAAACUGGGGCUAAUACCGGAUAGGAGCUCCUGCUGCAUGGUGGGGGUUGGAAAGUUUCGGCGGUUGGGGAUGGACUCGCGGCUUAUCAGCUUGUUGGUGGGGUAGUGGCUUACCAAGGCUUUGACGGGUAGCCGGCCUGAGAGGGUGACCGGCAACAUGGGGAAGGAGAUACGGCCCAGACCCCUAGGGGGGGCAGGAGGGGGGAAUAUGGCAAAAGGGGGGGAAGCCUGAGGCAGAAACGCCGCGUGGGGGAUGACGGCCUUGGGGUUGUAACCCGCUUUCGCGUGUGACGAAGCGGGAGUGACUGUAAUGGGUAAAGAAGCACCGGCUAACUACGU
This 467-nucleotide ribosomal RNA is filed under the name uncultured bacterium. RNAcentral describes it as "partial 16S ribosomal RNA". It matches the Rfam family "Bacterial small subunit ribosomal RNA", at positions 28 to 506 of the family's 1533-position model. The record is from RNAcentral.